CUACGGGGUGCAGCAGUGAGGAAUAUUGCACAAUGGAGGGAACCCUGAUGCAGCAACGCCGCGUGGAGGAUGACGCAUUUCGGUGUGUAAACUCCUUUUAUAUGUCAAGAAAAUGACGGUAGCAUAUGAAUAAGCACCGGCUAACUCCGUGCCAGCAGCCGCGGUAAUACGGAAGGUGCAAGCGUUACUCGGAAUCACUGGGCGUAAAGGACGCGUAGGCGGGUUGGAAAGUCAGGUGUGAAAUCCUACAGCUUAACUGUAGAACUGCACUUGAAACUUCUAAUCUAGAGUAUGGGAGGGGGAGAUGGAAUUAGUGGUGUAGGGGUAAAAUCCGUAGAUAUCACUAGGAAUACCUAAAGCGAAGGCGAUCUCCUGGAAUAUUACUGACGCUAAGGCGUGAAAGCGUGGGGAGCAAACAGGAUUAGAUACCCUUGUAGUC
RNAcentral lists this ribosomal RNA (439 nucleotides) under uncultured bacterium. RNAcentral describes it as "partial 16S ribosomal RNA". It matches the Rfam family "Bacterial small subunit ribosomal RNA", at positions 339 to 795 of the family's 1533-position model. The record is from RNAcentral.